GAUGAACGCUGGCGGCGUGCCUAAUACAUGCAAGUCGAGCGAACAGACGAGAAGCUUGCUCCUCUGACGUUAGCGGCGGACGGGUGAGUAACACGUGGAUAACCUACCUAUAAGACUGGGAUAACUUCGGGAAACCGGAGCUAAUACCGGAUGAUAUAUUGAACCGCAUGGUUCAAUAGUGAAAGACGGUUUUGCUGUCACUUAUAGAUGGAUCCGCGCCGCAUUAGCUAGUUGGUAAGGUAACGGCUUACCAAGGCAACGAUGCGUAGCCGACCUGAGAGGGUGAUCGGCCACACUGGAACUGAGACACGGUCCAGACUCCUACGGGAGGCAGCAGUAGGGAAUCUUCCGCAAUGGGCGAAAGCCUGACGGAGCAACGCCGCGUGAGUGAUGAAGGUCUUCGGAUCGUAAAACUCUGUUAUUAGGGAAGAACAAAUGUGUAAGUAACUGUGCACGUCUUGACGGUACCUAAUCAGAAAGCCACGGCUAACUACGUG
This 497-nucleotide ribosomal RNA is filed under the name uncultured bacterium. RNAcentral describes it as "partial 16S ribosomal RNA". It matches the Rfam family "Bacterial small subunit ribosomal RNA", at positions 28 to 507 of the family's 1533-position model. The record is from RNAcentral.